RNAcentral lists this unclassified non-coding RNA (343 nucleotides) under soil metagenome. RNAcentral describes it as "partial contains 5.8S ribosomal RNA, internal transcribed spacer 2, and large subunit ribosomal RNA". The stretch from base 1 to 120 matches the Rfam family "5.8S ribosomal RNA", at positions 35 to 154 of the family's 154-position model. The record is from RNAcentral.
GAUGAAGAACGUAGCGAAAUGCGAUAAGUAAUGUGAAUUGCAGAAUUCAGGGAAUCAUCGAAUCUUUGAACGCACAUUGCGCCCGCUAGUAUUCUGGCGGGCAUGCCUGUCCGAGCGUCAUUUCAACCCUCAAGCCCCCGGGCUUGGUGUUGGGGAUCGGCGAGCCUCCGCGCCCGCCGUCCCCUAAAUCUAGUGGCGGUCUCGCUGUAGCUUCCUCUGCGUAGUAGCACACCUCGCACUGGGAAACAGCGCGGCCACGCCGUUAAACCCCCAACUUCUGAACGUUUGACCUCGGAUCAGGUAGGAAUACCCGCUGAACUUAAGCAUAUCAAUAAGCGGAGGA